UGUGAACAAGGUGGAGAAGAUCCAAAUGGACCCAGAUGACACCAUGGUCUCAUUUGAUGUCACCUCCUUGUUCACCUGCAUCCCUACACCAGAAGCCACAGAGAUGGUAAGGACUUGCCUCACACAAGACAGCACACUCAAGGAGAGAACCAACCUAACGCCAGACCACAUCUGUGACCUGCUGGACCUCUGCCUGACCACCACUUAUUUCCAGUACAAUGGGAACUUUUACAGACAGAAGCACGGCUGUGCGAUGGGAUCACCUGUGUCUCCUAUUGUGGCCAACCUCUACAUGGAAGAAGUGGAGAGAAGAGCCCUGAGUUCCUAUCCUGGAACCACCCCCACCCACUGGUUUAGAUAUGUGGAUGACACCUGGGUCAAAAUCAAGACUAACGAAGUGGAACGGUUCACAGAACACAUCAACGCAGUGGAUAAUAACAUCAAGUUCACUCGCGAGGACACCAAGGACAACAAUCUGGCCUUCUUGGACUGCACAGUACAUAUUGAGGAGGACAGGAGCCUCAAUGUGGAAGUGUACAGGAAACCCACACACACGGACCAGUACCUGUUGUUUGAUUCACACCACCCACUGGAACACAAACUUGGAGUCAUCAGGACCCUGCAGCACAGAGCACAAACUGUACCCACCAGCUCAGAGGGGAAGAAGAAGGAGCAACACCACAUCAGGAAGGCCCUGCAAACAUGUGGCUACCCGAAGUGGGCACUCAUCAAAGCCACAAAAACAAGACCCCCCAACAACAAGAAGAAGGACAACACCAGGCGGAGAAAGAACAUCUCCAUUCCAUAUGUGUCAGGAGUAUCAGAGAAACUCCGCAGGAUCUUCAACAACCAUGACAUCCCGGUCCAUUUCAAACCUAUGACAACACUGAGACAGAGACUGGUUCACCCGAAGGAUAAGAUUCCCAGGGAGAAACACAGCAAUGUGAUAUAGGCAGUCCAGUGCAGUGAGGAAUGCUCUGAUCUGUACAUUGGAGAAACUAAACAACCACUCCACAGAAGAAUGGCUCAGCACAGGAGAGCCACCUCUUCAGGACAAGACUCAGCUGUUCACCUCCACCUCAAAGACAAAGGACACUCCUUUGAGGACAACAACGUUCACAUUUUAGACAGGGAGGAAAGGUGGUAUGAAAGAGGAGUUAAGGAAGCCAUCUAUGUUAAACUGGAAAAACCUUCCCUUAACAGAGGUGGUGGCCUCAGACAUCAUCUUUCUACCACAUACAAUGCAGUGAUUCCAUCCAUUCCCAGGAAGUUUACACAUACUCACAGUAAGAACAAAGGGCUGUCAAUCAGUCCCCCUCCGGCAGUUUCAUAGUCGUUAGCCAGUCGUUAGACUCACCUGGCCCAGUCAGCCAG
This is a long non-coding RNA of Parambassis ranga (Indian glassy fish), 1374 nucleotides long. The record is from Ensembl. NCBI's taxonomy places the organism in Eukaryota, Metazoa, Chordata, Actinopteri, Ambassidae.